RNAcentral lists this ribosomal RNA (253 nucleotides) under uncultured bacterium. RNAcentral's name for it is "partial 16S ribosomal RNA". It matches the Rfam family "Bacterial small subunit ribosomal RNA", at positions 524 to 776 of the family's 1533-position model. The record is from RNAcentral.
UACGGGGGGGGCAAGCGUUGUUCGGAAUUACUGGGCGUAAAGGGCUCGUAGGCGGCCAACUAAGUCGGAUGUGAAAUCCCCAGGAUUAACCUGGGAACUGCAUCCGAUACUGGAUGGCUUGAAUCCGGGAGAGGGAUGCGGAAUUCCAGGUGUAGCGGUGAAAUGCGUAGAUAUCUGGAGGAACACCGGUGGCGAAGGCGGCAUCCUGGACCGGCAUUGACGCUGAGGAGCGAAAGCCAGGGGAGCAAACGGG